This 1026-nucleotide ribosomal RNA is filed under the name uncultured Bacillus sp. RNAcentral's name for it is "bacterial SSU rRNA". It matches the Rfam family "Bacterial small subunit ribosomal RNA", at positions 8 to 1023 of the family's 1533-position model. The record is from RNAcentral. Lineage: Bacteria; Bacillati; Bacillota; Bacilli; Caryophanales; Bacillaceae.
AGAGUUUGAUCCUGGCUCAGGACGAACGCUGGCGGCGUGCCUAAUACAUGCAAGUCGAGCGGACUUAAAAAGCUUGCUUUUUAAGUUAGCGGCGGACGGGUGAGUAACACGUGGGCAACCUGCCUGUAAGACUGGGAUAACUUCGGGAAACCGGAGCUAAUACCGGAUAAUCCUUUUCUACUCAUGUAGAAAAGCUGAAAGACGGUUUACGCUGUCACUUACAGAUGGGCCCGCGGUGCAUUAGCUAGUUGGUGAGGUAACGGCUCACCAAGGCAACGAUGCAUAGCCGACCUGAGAGGGUGAUCGGCCACACUGGGACUGAGACACGGCCCAGACUCCUACGGGAGGCAGCAGUAGGGAAUCUUCCGCAAUGGACGAAAGUCUGACGGAGCAACGCCGCGUGAGUGAUGAAGGCUUUCGGGUCGUAAAACUCUGUUGUUAGGGAAGAACAAGUACGAGAGUAACUGCUCGUACCUUGACGGUACCUAACCAGAAAGCCACGGCUAACUACGUGCCAGCAGCCGCGGUAAUACGUAGGUGGCAAGCGUUAUCCGGAAUUAUUGGGCGUAAAGCGCGCGCAGGCGGUUUCUUAAGUCUGAUGUGAAAGCCCACGGCUCAACCGUGGAGGGUCAUUGGAAACUGGGGAACUUGAGUGCAGAAGAGAAAAGCGGAAUUCCACGUGUAGCGGUGAAAUGCGUAGAGAUGUGGAGGAACACCAGUGGCGAAGGCGGCUUUUUGGUCUGUAACUGACGCUGAGGCGCGAAAGCGUGGGGAGCAAACAGGAUUAGAUACCCUGGUAGUCCACGCCGUAAACGAUGAGUGCUAAGUGUUAGAGGGUUUCCGCCCUUUAGUGCUGCAGCUAACGCAUUAAGCACUCCGCCUGGGAGUACGGUCGCAAGACUGAAACUCAAAGGAAUUGACGGGGGCCCGCACCAGCGGUGGAGCAUGUGGUUUAUUUCGAAGCAACGCGAGAACCUUACAGGUCUGACAUCCUCUGACACUCUAGAGAUAGAGCGUUCCCAUUCG